AGAGUUUGAUCCUGGCUCAGGAUGAACGCUAGCGGCAGGCUUAACACAUGCAAGUCGAGGGGUAACGGGGAAGCUUGCUUCCGCCGACGACCGGCGCACGGGUGCGUAACGCGUAUACAAUCUACCUUAUACUGGGGUAUAGCCUUUAGAAAUGAAGAUUAAUCCCCCAUAGUCUCUUAGAGUGGCAUCACUUCUAGAGUAAAGGUUACGGUAUAAGAUGAGUAUGCGUUCUAUUAGUUUGUUGGUGUGGUAACGGCACACCAAGACUACGAUAGAUAGGGGCCCUGAGAGGGGGAUCCCCCACACUGGUACUGAGACACGGACCAGACUCCUACGGGAGGCAGCAGUGAGGAAUAUUGGACAAUGGAGGCAACUCUGAUCCAGCCAUGCCGCGUGCAGGAAGACUGCCCUAUGGGUUGUAAACUGCUUUUAUACAGGAAGAAACACCUCUACGUGUAGAGGCUUGACGGUACUGUAAGAAUAAGGAUCGGCUAACUCCGUGCCAGCAGCCGCGGUAAUACGGAGGAUCCAAGCGUUAUCCGGAAUCAUUGGGUUUAAAGGGUCCGUAGGUGGAUAAUUAAGUCAGAGGUGAAAUCUUGCAGCUCAACUGUAAAAUUGCCUUUGAAACUGGUUAUCUUGAGUUAUUAUGAAGUAGUUAGAAUAUGUAGUGUAGCGGUGAAAUGCAUAGAUAUUACAUAGAAUACCAAUUGCGAAGGCAGAUUACUAAUAAUCAACUGACACUGAUGGACGAAAGCGUGGGUAGCGAACAGGAUUAGAUACCCUGGUAGUCCACGCCGUAAACGAUGGUUACUAGCUGUUUGGACUUCGGUCUGAGUGGCUAAGCGAAAGUGAUAAGUAACCCACCUGGGGAGUACGUUCGCAAGAAUGAAACUCAAAGGAAUUGACGGGGGCCCGCACAAGCGGUGGAGCAUGUGGUUUAAUUCGAUGAUACGCGAGGAACCUUACCAGGGCUUAAAUGUAAGUUGCAUUAGUUAGAGAUAGCUAUUUCUUCGGACCACUUACAAGGUGCUGCAUGGUUGUCGUCAGCUCGUGCCGUGAGGUGUCAGGUUAAGUCCUAUAACGAGCGCAACCCCUGUUGUUAGUUGCCAGCGAGUCAUGUCGGGAACUCUAGCAAGACUGCCAGUGCAAACUGUGAGGAAGGUGGGGAUGACGUCAAAUCAUCACGGCCCUUACGUCCUGGGCUACACACGUGCUACAAUGGUAGGUACAGAGAGCAGCCACUGCGCGAGCAGGAGCGAAUCUAUAAAACCUAUCACAGUUCGGAUCGGAGUCUGCAACUCGACUCCGUGAAGCUGGAAUCGCUAGUAAUCGGAUAUCAGCCAUGAUCCGGUGAAUACGUUCCCGGGCCUUGUACACACCGCCCGUCAAGCCAUGGAAGUUGGAAGUGCCUGAAGUCCGUCACCGUAAGGAGCGGCCUAGGGUAAAGUCGAUAACCAGGGCUAAGUCGUAACAAGGUAACC
RNAcentral lists this ribosomal RNA (1481 nucleotides) under uncultured bacterium. RNAcentral's name for it is "bacterial SSU rRNA". It matches the Rfam family "Bacterial small subunit ribosomal RNA". The record is from RNAcentral.